Molecule: ribosomal RNA, 781 nt
Filed under: Bacillus sp. Aksu1
Lineage: Bacteria; Bacillati; Bacillota; Bacilli; Caryophanales; Bacillaceae
Description: bacterial SSU rRNA
Rfam family: Bacterial small subunit ribosomal RNA
Source: RNAcentral
UGCAGUCGAGCGAAUGGAUUGAGAGCUUGCUCUCAAGAAGUUAGCGGCGGACGGGUGAGUAACACGUGGGUAACCUGCCCAUAAGACUGGGAUAACUCCGGGAAACCGGGGCUAAUACCGGAUAAUAUUUUGAACUGCAUGGUUCGAAAUUGAAAGGCGGCUUCGGCUGUCACUUAUGGAUGGACCCGCGUCGCAUUAGCUAGUUGGUGAGGUAACGGCUCACCAAGGCAACGAUGCGUAGCCGACCUGAGAGGGUGAUCGGCCACACUGGGACUGAGACACGGCCCAGACUCCUACGGGAGGCAGCAGUAGGGAAUCUUCCGCAAUGGACGAAAGUCUGACGGAGCAACGCCGCGUGAGUGAUGAAGGCUUUCGGGUCGUAAAACUCUGUUGUUAGGGAAGAACAAGUGCUAGUUGAAUAAGCUGGCACCUUGACGGUACCUAACCAGAAAGCCACGGCUAACUACGUGCCAGCAGCCGCGGUAAUACGUAGGUGGCAAGCGUUAUCCGGAAUUAUUGGGCGUAAAGCGCGCGCAGGUGGUUUCUUAAGUCUGAUGUGAAAGCCCACGGCUCAACCGUGGAGGGUCAUUGGAAACUGGGAGACUUGAGUGCAGAAGAGGAAAGUGGAAUUCCAUGUGUAGCGGUGAAAUGCGUAGAGAUAUGGAGGAACACCAGUGGCGAAGGCGACUUUCUGGUCUGUAACUGACACUGAGGCGCGAAAGCGUGGGGGAGCAAACAGGAUUAGAUACCCUGGUAGUCCACGCCGUAAACGAUGAGUGCU